AUACGUAGGGGGCGAGCGUUGUCCGGAAUGAUUGGGCGUAAAGGGCGCGUAGGCGGCCCGGUAAGUCUGGAGUGAAAGUCCUGUUUUUAAGAUGGGAAUUGCUUUGGAUACUGUCGGGCUUGAGUGCAGGAGAGGUAAGUGGAAUUCCCAGUGUAGCGGUGAAAUGCGUAGAGAUUGGGAGGAACACCAGUGGCGAAGGCGACUUACUGGACUGUAACUGACGCUGAGGCGCGAAAGUGUGGGGAGCAAACAGGAUUAGAUACCCUGGUAGUCCACGCCGUAAACGAUGGGCGCUCGUCGUCGGCGGCAGACAGUCGGCGGCCAAGCGAAAGCGAUAAGCGCCCCACCUGGGGAGUACGGUCGCAAGGCUGAAACUCAAAUGAAUUGGCGGGG
RNAcentral lists this ribosomal RNA (393 nucleotides) under uncultured bacterium. RNAcentral's name for it is "partial 16S ribosomal RNA". It matches the Rfam family "Bacterial small subunit ribosomal RNA", at positions 523 to 918 of the family's 1533-position model. The record is from RNAcentral.